UAUAUAUAAACCACCCCGAACCCCUCGAUUAGAUUCCAGUCUGUAACUCACCCCCGGGUAUCUGUUAUUCUAUAUAUAAACCCACCCGAGCCCCUCGAUUAGAUUCCAGUCUGUAACUCACUCAUCAGCACCAUACCGUCCACUGCAGUUUGGAAAUCGAGCCCUUACCCACCCAGAGACCCCUCUUCUCCAGAAUUUCAGCAACUGCCUGGAGUUUUUGGUGAAGAGUUGUCAUAUGAGAGUUACUCUGCAGUACUGGUCCAAGGAGCAGCGGUGCUGGAUCAUGGGGAUGAAUAUCGGUUCUGAAGAUGCAGGUCCAGACAGUGGAUUAACUGGACUGAGACUGAGAGCCACAUUCCUGCCUUUGACUGAGGAGCUCGGUUGACUGCUCCUUCCACAGCAGGGAAGGACUUAGAGAGGCAUUGGCAUCAACACCCACUCCGAUCGCGGACCUGCCCAGAACCCCGAAGAUGUUUGGCGGCACUCUCUGUACCACCGUUAUGAGCCUCUCGGGUGA
Molecule: long non-coding RNA, 517 nt
Organism: Carcharodon carcharias (great white shark)
Lineage: Eukaryota; Metazoa; Chordata; Chondrichthyes; Lamniformes; Lamnidae
Exons: 3
Source: RefSeq, a predicted model, not a curated record